RNAcentral lists this small RNA (67 nucleotides) under uncultured Clostridium sp. RNAcentral's name for it is "Streptococcus sRNA SpF59 (ldcC RNA)". It matches the Rfam family "Streptococcus sRNA SpF59 (ldcC RNA)". The record is from RNAcentral. Lineage: Bacteria; Bacillati; Bacillota; Clostridia; Eubacteriales; Clostridiaceae.
UGACCACCUGGUAUUUUGAUUGAUGAUACUGAGGUUAUGGCCAUACGGACAGCCAGGUCAACUGCCG